GAGCGUGACAACUGAAGCGACUUCAAAAUAAACUGCAGGAGCGUACACUUCCCUGUACUUCCGCUUUCGUCAAAGAUCCGCCUCACGAAUAGUUUUAUUUUACUUCCACGCAUCAACAACAACAACAGCCUCCAUCCAUGGAUAUGAUACUUAUCUCAUGUCAAGAUUUGCAGUGCAUUGAGCUCUCUCGGCCAACGUGUGUUUUCCUGAAUUAAAUGAGAACUUAAGUGCUGCCCCAGGAUGGAGAUCACCACCUGCAUCGGGCGACUUUACAUCUGAACAACACUGAGUGUCUGAAAUCCUUCUCAUCCUAACCUCUCACUUGUGAGUCAUCGCUGUCUCCUCUCAGAUCCGCACAGUAGCUGAUUGGGUGCUGGCUGGUCCCUUUUGUAAUCAAGCGGAAUGAUGAAAGACUCAUCACAAACCACCCACCACAGUCAUUGUCUGACAGACCCACUUGAGCCGCUGGGUCUCCCCAUGCUCACUAAUUCAAAGUCGUCCGUGUGUCAUUGACUCCCUGAUGGACUACUCUGCUACGUGACGGACAUCAGGAAAACUCCAAAAA
Hippoglossus stenolepis (Pacific halibut) is the source of this 565-nucleotide long non-coding RNA. RefSeq lists it as uncharacterized. Lineage: Eukaryota; Metazoa; Chordata; Actinopteri; Pleuronectiformes; Pleuronectidae. The transcript is spliced from 5 exons. The record is from RefSeq and is a predicted model, not a curated record.